Molecule: ribosomal RNA, 461 nt
Filed under: uncultured bacterium
Lineage: Bacteria
Description: bacterial SSU rRNA
Rfam family: Bacterial small subunit ribosomal RNA
Source: RNAcentral
GAUGAACGUUGGCGGCGUGCCUAAUACAUGCAAGUCGAACGGAGAUUGUAGCAAUACGGUCUCAGUGGCGAACGGGUGAGUAACGCGUUGGUGACCUGCCCCGAAGUGUGGAAUAACAGAUCGAAAGAGCUGCUAAUACCGCAUAAUAUCCAGAAGAUUAGAUGCUUUUGGAUUAAAGGAUUUAUUCGCUUCGGGAGGGGCCUGCGUCCCAUCAGCUAGUUGGUAAGGUAAAGGCUUACCAAGGCUAUGACGGGUAGGGGACCUGAGAGGGUGGCCCCCCACAAUGGAACUGAAACACGGUCCAUACACCUACGGGUGGCAGCAGUAGGGAAUAUUAGUAAUGGGCGAAAGCCUGAACUAGCAACGCCGCGUGUGCGAAGAAGGCCUUCGGUUGGUAAAGCACUUUUUGUAGAGGAUGAGGAAGGACGGUACUCUCAGAAUAAGUCUCGGCUAACUACGUG